This 483-nucleotide ribosomal RNA is filed under the name Pseudomonas sp. CL3.133. RNAcentral's name for it is "bacterial SSU rRNA". It matches the Rfam family "Bacterial small subunit ribosomal RNA", at positions 17 to 493 of the family's 1533-position model. The record is from RNAcentral. Lineage: Bacteria; Pseudomonadati; Pseudomonadota; Gammaproteobacteria; Pseudomonadales; Pseudomonadaceae.
CCCUGGCUCAGAUUGAACGCUGGCGGCAGGCCUAACACAUGCAAGUCGAGCGGCAGCACGGGUACUUGUACCUGGUGGCGAGCGGCGGACGGGUGAGUAAUGCCUAGGAAUCUGCCUGGUAGUGGGGGAUAACGCUCGGAAACGGACGCUAAUACCGCAUACGUCCUACGGGAGAAAGCAGGGGACCUUCGGGCCUUGCGCUAUCAGAUGAGCCUAGGUCGGAUUAGCUAGUUGGUGAGGUAAUGGCUCACCAAGGCGACGAUCCGUAACUGGUCUGAGAGGAUGAUCAGUCACACUGGAACUGAGACACGGUCCAGACUCCUACGGGAGGCAGCAGUGGGGAAUAUUGGACAAUGGGCGAAAGCCUGAUCCAGCCAUGCCGCGUGUGUGAAGAAGGUCUUCGGAUUGUAAAGCACUUUAAGUUGGGAGGAAGGGCAGUUACCUAAUACGUAUCUGUUUUGACGUUACCGACAGAAUAAGCAC